UACGGAAGGUGCGAGCGUUAAUCGGAAUUACUGGGCGUAAAGCGCGCGUAGGCGGCUUGGUAAGUCGGGUGUGAAAGCCCCGGGCUCAACCUGGGAAUGGCACUCGAUACUGCCGAGCUCGAGUACGAGAGAGGGGGGUGGAAUUCCAGGUGUAGCGGUGAAAUGCGUAGAGAUCUGGAGGAACACCGGUGGCGAAGGCGGCCCCCUGGUUCGAUACUGACGCUCAUGUGCGAAAGCGUGGGGAGCAAACAGG
RNAcentral lists this ribosomal RNA (253 nucleotides) under uncultured bacterium. RNAcentral describes it as "partial 16S ribosomal RNA". It matches the Rfam family "Bacterial small subunit ribosomal RNA", at positions 524 to 776 of the family's 1533-position model. The record is from RNAcentral.